CCCUUAGAUGUUCUGGGCCGCACGCGCGCUACACUGACGAAUGCAACGAGCUUAUAAUAACCUUGGCCGAAAGGUCUGGGUAAUCUCCAAAUUUCGUCGUGAUGGGGAUAGAUUAUUGCAAUUAUUAAUCUUCAACGAGGAAUGCCUAGUAAGCGCAAGUCAUCAGCUUGCGUUGAUUACGUCCCUGCCCUUUGUACACACCGCCCGUCGCUCCUACCGAUUGAAUGGUCCGGUGAAGCGUUCGGACCGUGGCCUUUGGACGGUUCGCCGUCUGUUGGCUGCGGGAAGUUCGUUAAACCUUNUNAUUUAGNGGAAGGAGAANUCGUANCA
Molecule: ribosomal RNA, 330 nt
Filed under: uncultured eukaryote
Lineage: Eukaryota
Description: partial 18S ribosomal RNA
Rfam family: Eukaryotic small subunit ribosomal RNA
Source: RNAcentral